GAUGAACGCUGGCGGCGUGCCUAAUACAUGCAAGUCGAGCGAACAGACGAGGAGCUUGCUCCUCUGACGUUAGCGGCGGACGGGUGAGUAACACGUGGAUAACCUACCUAUAAGACUGGGAUAACUUCGGGAAACCGGAGCUAAUACCGGAUAAUAUAUUGAACCGCAUGGUUCAAUAGUGAAAGACGGUUUUGCUGUCACUUAUAGAUGGAUCCGCGCCGCAUUAGCUAGUUGGUAAGGUAACGGCUUACCAAGGCAACGAUGCGUAGCCGACCUGAGAGGGUGAUCGGCCACACUGGAACUGAGCCACGGUCCAGACUCCUACGGGAGGCAGCAGUAGGGAAUCUUCCGCAAUGGGCGAAAGCCUGACGGAGCAACGCCGCGUGAGUGAUGAAGGUCUUCGGAUCGUAAAACUCUGUUAUUAGGGAAGAACAAAUGUGUAAGUAACUAUGCACGUCUUGACGGUACCUAAUCAGAAAGCAACGGCUAACUACGUG
RNAcentral lists this ribosomal RNA (497 nucleotides) under uncultured bacterium. RNAcentral describes it as "partial 16S ribosomal RNA". It matches the Rfam family "Bacterial small subunit ribosomal RNA", at positions 28 to 507 of the family's 1533-position model. The record is from RNAcentral.